RNAcentral lists this ribosomal RNA (426 nucleotides) under uncultured Pseudomonadaceae bacterium. RNAcentral's name for it is "bacterial SSU rRNA". It matches the Rfam family "Bacterial small subunit ribosomal RNA", at positions 356 to 774 of the family's 1533-position model. The record is from RNAcentral. Lineage: Bacteria; Pseudomonadati; Pseudomonadota; Gammaproteobacteria; Pseudomonadales; Pseudomonadaceae.
GGGGAAUAUUGGACAAUGGGCAAAAGCCUGAUCCAGCCAUGCCGCGUGUGUGAAGAAGGUCUUCGGUUUGUAAACCACUUUAAGUUGGGGGGAAGGGUUUCUGGCUAUUAUCAGGAAAUUUUGACUUAACGGACAGAAUAGGCACCGGCUAACUCAUUGCCAGCAGCCGCGGUAAUACGAAGGGUGCAAGCGUUAAUUGGAAUUACUGGGCGUAAAGCGCGCGUAGGUGGUUCGUUAAGUUGGAUGUGAAAGCCCCGGGCUCAACCUGGGAACUGCAUCCAAAACUGGCGAGCUAGAGUAUGGCAGAGGGUGGUGGAAUUUCCUGUGUAGCGGUGAAAUGCGUAGAUAUAGGAAGGAACACCAGUGGCGAAGGCGACCACCUGGGCUAAUACUGACACUGAGGUGCGAAAGCGUGGGGAGCAAACA